GGCCGCAGAAUUUUAACUGUGCAAAGGUAGCAUAAUCAUUAGUUUUUUAAUUGAAAGCUGGUAUGAAUGGUUGGACGAGGUACUAGCUGUUUCACAUUAAAUGUUAUAAUUUUAUUUUUUGGUUAAAAAGCCAAAAUAUUUUUAAAAGACGAGAAGACCCUAUAGAUCUUUAUAAUUCUUUUAUUACUGAUUAUGAAGAAUAUUUUUGUUAGUAUUAAUUAGGUUAUUUUGUUGGGGUGACAGAGAAAUUUAUUUAACUUUCUUUAUUUUUUGUACAUUAAUUUUUGAUUUUUUUGAUCCUUUAUUAAGAUUGUAAGAUUAAGUUACCUUAGGGAUAACAGCGUAAUCUUUUUGGAGAGUUCAUAUCGAUGAGAAGGAUUGCGACCUCGAUGUUGGAUUAA
RNAcentral lists this ribosomal RNA (401 nucleotides) under Philonicus albiceps. Its description in RNAcentral is "partial large subunit ribosomal RNA". It matches the Rfam family "Bacterial large subunit ribosomal RNA", at positions 1929 to 2540 of the family's 2925-position model. Lineage: Eukaryota; Metazoa; Arthropoda; Insecta; Diptera; Asilidae. The record is from RNAcentral.